Molecule: long non-coding RNA, 1516 nt
Filed under: Mustela putorius furo (domestic ferret)
Lineage: Eukaryota; Metazoa; Chordata; Mammalia; Carnivora; Mustelidae
Description: lncRNA (ENSMPUG00000029435.1)
Source: RNAcentral
GGCCACUGCCCUGUGCCCUCCGGCCCUGGGGUCCCGGGCGUAGGAAGAAGGGCCUGGGCGGGUCCAACCGGCUUGCUCUGCGGAUUGGAGGUUUGGGGGCGAGGCAGAAUGCUGGCCUGGGCUGAAGCUGGUCCAAGCUUUGGAAAAACAGCAGCAUAGACAGAGGGACAGAGAUGUGUCCAUCGGGAGCUCCUGCCACUUGCCCCCAAGACCCAGCCCAGUGUUUUUGGAUUCUGGCUGCCCACAAUCACCUGGCCGGCCGGGAGGAGGGAUGUGACAAACAUGGGUUCUCGGGCCUCAUCUCCAGAGAUUCUGACUCAAUUGGCAUCGGUGGAUUUUAAAAGCAGAUAUUUGAGAGUUGGAAACGACUUGCCAAGCCCUCACUUGGUAUUUGAGAAGACAAAACCCAGAGAGCAAAAGGGACAUAGCCAAGGUUGUGAAGCAGCUAGUGGCCAAGACUGGACUUGAACGUGACUUUGGCUUACAAAGUCCUGCACGAGCCACCCUCCCAGCUUCUUCCUCGCCUCUCUGCAUUCUGUGGCUUUGCCUCUUCUCUGUUCUCUCUUCCACCUCAGGGCCUUUGCACGGCCCCAUCACCCCUGCCUUUACCCCGAAAUCCUUCAUGAUUCUAAGUCAGCAGCCCCUGUGCGCCUCCACCUCCUCCCCUCACUGGAUCAUGUUUGGCGAUUGCCAGAAAUCUACCCGCUCCUGGAAGAGGAACAGUUUGCCGUGCUCCAAGGGAUACAAGAGAUCAGGCGUCAGCUCCGGAAGGCUGCCACUGGCCAAAGGAGGAGAAACUCCAGCGACGAAGACAGGGAACAGAACAGUGACAUGUCAUUUAGUGUCCAAAGCAGGACAAUUCCGUGAGUGAAAGGGGAUGCUAUUAACAAUUACACCGAGAAAGCAGGUCUGCAGAAGACUGGCCCAGGGAGAUGAGGACACGUGACCACAGGACCCACGAGCCUGGGCCGGACCAGCCACGGUGAACGCAGCCAUCGGCGUUACUGAAUCCCCACAUCAACCCUGAGAAGUGGAGGCUAGUUUUCCAUCUCCACUGGACAGGUUCAGGGGUGAAUAAAGACCCCAGGGCUGGCAGGUGGCUGCGAAAGAGGGAUGAAUGGGUCAGAUUUGGGGCCUGAGCGAAGAAACGAAAAGCAGACCACAGUCAUUUGGUCUAGCCACCGGGGGGAGGACUUUUGGCUGCUGUGUGUCCAUUAUGAAGGGGCAGGACCCAUGGCAAGCUGGUUAUUAAAUAUGUCUAAUAUCUACCUGCCCACCCACUGAGAAAGAGCCCAUGGGUGGCCCAGGGGAGCAGGGUGUUCUGUGGGAGGGGGCUGGGGCAGGAGGAAGACCCCUCAUUCCUGGAGCUAUGGGGGAGCUAGAAAGAGCCACGUCCUGUGGCUUGGCCUCCCUGGGGUGGCGGCCUCUGUAAGAGGGAAGUCCUCUGCUUCCUUCCUUUUUCUUCUAAGCAGAUUUGAAAGCAACCACUCCAGGGUCUUGAGGGCCUUCAGACGGG